AUUGAACGCUGGCGGCAGGCCUAACACAUGCAAGUCGAGCGAGCGACGGACGGGUGAGUAAUGUAUGGGGACUGCCCGAUAGAGGGGGAUAACUACUGGAAACGGUGGCUAAUCCCGCAUACUAUCGGAUAACCCAUAUGGGAUUAGCUAGUAGGUGGGGUAACGGCUCACCUAGGCGACGAUCUCUAGCUGGUCUGAGAGGAUGAUCAGCCACACUGAGACGGAGACAAGGCCAAGACACCUACGGAGGCAGCAGUGGGGAAGAUUGCAGAAUGGGCGCAAGUCUGAUGCAGCCUAUCCGCGUGUAUGAAGAAGGCCUUAGGGUUGUAAAGUACGUUCAGCAGGGAGGCGUUACCCGCAGAAGAAGCACCGGCUAACUCCGUGCCAGCGGCCGCGGUAAUAC
This 403-nucleotide ribosomal RNA is filed under the name uncultured bacterium. Its description in RNAcentral is "partial 16S ribosomal RNA". It matches the Rfam family "Bacterial small subunit ribosomal RNA", at positions 30 to 526 of the family's 1533-position model. The record is from RNAcentral.